This 416-nucleotide long non-coding RNA is filed under the name Salvator merianae (Argentine black and white tegu). RNAcentral's name for it is "lncRNA (ENSSMRG00000008814.1)". Lineage: Eukaryota; Metazoa; Chordata; Lepidosauria; Squamata; Teiidae. The record is from RNAcentral.
GCAGGAGCCCCUUAUCCGCCGCAUCUUCCAUGACGUCGCCGAACCCCUGCAGGGUCCCCGCGGCCUUCCUGUCCUCCGCGCGCAGCGGCGGCUAUAAAAGGGGAGAAUUCGGCGCGCGGCGCAGGAAGGGAUCCGGAUCAAGGGCUUCCUUCCCCCUCCUGCUCCGCCGCCAUGAAGCGCUUCGCGGCUGCCCUGGUCCUCCUCCUCCUGGGAGCCCUCCUGGCCCCGGCCGANGCUUCUCUGGGCCCUGAAAAGACCCCCGAGGAAACUCUUAAUCCGUAUUUCAUGGCAAAAAUGGUAACCGGGUCUGCGGGAACCCCAGCGAAAAAUGGGCCCAGCACCUGGCUCAGCAUUUCAAAUGCAAGUGACAGGAUCCCCUNCGCCACCCAAGGAGAAGAGAAAGCAGAGCGGAAGGU